CAAUAGCGUAUAUUUAAGUUGCUGCAGUUAAAAAGCUCGUAGUUGGAUUUCGGGUGGGAAUGGCCGGUCCGCCGUUUCGGUGUGCACUUGAUACGCCCACCUUGCUGCCGGGGACGUGCUCUUGAGUUCACGCUCGGGACACGGAGUCGGCGAGGUUACUUUGAGUAAAUUAGAGUGUUCAAAGCAGGCCUACGCUCUGAAUACAUUAGCAUGGAAUAACACGAUAGGACUCUGGCCUAUCUUGUUGGUCUGUAGGACCGGAGUAAUGAUUAAGAGGGACAGUCGGGGGCAUUCGUAUUUCAUUGUCAGAGGUGAAAUUCUUGGAUUUAUGAAAGACGAACUACUGCGAAAGCAUUUGCCAAGGAUGUUUUCAUUAA
RNAcentral lists this ribosomal RNA (377 nucleotides) under uncultured eukaryote. RNAcentral describes it as "partial 18S ribosomal RNA". It matches the Rfam family "Eukaryotic small subunit ribosomal RNA", at positions 592 to 976 of the family's 1831-position model. The record is from RNAcentral.